Non-coding RNA from Pelobates cultripes (western spadefoot toad), 324 nucleotides. NCBI's taxonomy places the organism in Eukaryota, Metazoa, Chordata, Amphibia, Anura, Pelobatidae. The record is from the annotation of a GenBank genome assembly.
GGGGAUUCAGGCUGGAGGCUUUCAGGUACUUCAUUCGCCUUUUCCAGGACCGACCGCAGGGCCCAAUCGCAUGGAGCCCAAUUCGGCUAGUUCAUCCAGCGCAGUCGGUCAUUUUAUUCCCUCCAUGAAAUUCCCGAACCCCUGGUCUGAUCUGGGUGAUUUUUGGAUAUGUUGUUCACCCAGAUCAGGGCUACCAGGGGAUGCAGAAUUUAAAGUGGUACCCCUAGGUUUAGGGGUACAUCCAGAAACGGGGGGGGAAUUGCUGUACUGGAUAAGGGGAUUAUGAUGCCGGCUGAGGGGAGGAGAUGUGUGGGAGGUUACCAG